RNAcentral lists this long non-coding RNA (599 nucleotides) under Homo sapiens (human). Its description in RNAcentral is "HSALNT0216128". Lineage: Eukaryota; Metazoa; Chordata; Mammalia; Primates; Hominidae. The record is from RNAcentral.
CAAAAUGCACUAUUUGCUCAUCCAGUGCCCACAGUUUGCCCACCGGACGGCCCUGCUAGGUGGGAAGCUCCUUGCAGGCAGGAACCCCAUCUCCUUGACUUUACUUUGGAAUCCCCGCAGCCUCAUACGGGGCUGAGGCAGGUCCUUCCGUAAAAUGGAACUGAAUGAGCGGCGCUUAAUCCAUCCGCCAAAGGCCAGUCUCCCUUGGGUUUUCAACAGGUGGAGAAAUAUCAAAAGAAUCUGAAUAUCACCAUCUGGAAGUUGUGCCAUGGACUCCAGUGGGCAGGAUUCGAGCUGGGAUUCUCUUCUUCCUCUAGCAGUGUAUUUCUUCUGCUUAAAAUGAGCACAAACACAUCUAAUUCCCUAAUGGACCAACUCAGACCUAAAAGUCUCUUAUUCUUUGCCCGCCUUCCUCUACCCACAUGGAUUCCUGGGAUUCUCUAAAUGCAGAUGGCAAUGGGGAGGGCUGGGGAUUCCCAUCAAGGAUAUUUGAUCAUCGGUGACUUCACUUAACCAAUAAAUCAAACGUGUUGAAAUACACACAUGUCAGAAAUGUGGUAUGCUGUUACUCACUCAAAAGUCUGUUGGUCUGUCUUGGU